RNAcentral lists this transfer RNA (66 nucleotides) under Plautia lushanica. Its description in RNAcentral is "tRNA-Glu". The record is from RNAcentral. Lineage: Eukaryota; Metazoa; Arthropoda; Insecta; Hemiptera; Pentatomidae.
AUUUAUAUAGUUUAAAUUAAAACUCUUCAUUUUCAAUGAAAAAAUAAGAAUUUAUCUUUAUAAAUA